AUUGAACGCUGGCGGCAGGCCUAACACAUGCCAGUCGAGCGGAUGAAGGGAGCUUGCUCCUGGAUUCCGCGGCGGACGGGUGAGUAAUGCCUAGGAAUCUGCCUGGUAGUGGGGGAUAACGUCCGGAAACGGGCGCUAAUACCGCAUACGUCCUGAGGGAGAAAGUGGGGGAUCUUCGGACCUCACGCUAUCAGCUGAGCCUAGGUCGGAUUAGCUAGUUGGUGGGGUAAAGGCCUACCAAGGCGACGAUCCGUAACUGGUCUGAGAGGAUGAUCAGUCACACUGGAACUGAGACACGGUCCAGACUCCUACGGGAGGCAGCAGUGGGGAAUAUUGGACAAUGGGCGAAAGCCUGAUCCAGCCAUGCCGCGUGUGUGAAGAAGGUCUUCGGAUUGUAAAGCACUUUAAGUUGGGAGGAAGGGCAGUAAGUUAAUACCUGGCUGUUUUGACGUUACCAACAGAAUAAGCACCGGCUAACUUCGUG
RNAcentral lists this ribosomal RNA (484 nucleotides) under uncultured bacterium. RNAcentral describes it as "partial 16S ribosomal RNA". It matches the Rfam family "Bacterial small subunit ribosomal RNA", at positions 30 to 507 of the family's 1533-position model. The record is from RNAcentral.